AGCAGCCGCGGUAAUUCCAGCUCCAAUAGCGUAUAUUAAAGUUGUUGCAGUUAAAAGCUCGUAGUUGAAUUUCGGGAUCAAUUAAUCGGUCGUGCCUCUGGUACGCACUGGUUUUAUUGGUUUCUCCCUUCUGACGAACCAGGAUGUCAUUAAUUUGGUGUCUUGGAGAAUCAGGACUGUUACUUUGAAAAAUUAGAGUGUUUAAAGCAGGCUAACGCUUGAAUACAUUAGCAUGGAAUAAUGAAAUAGGACGUUUGAUCCUAUUUUGUUGGUUUCUAGGACCGACGUAAUGAUUAAUAGGGAUAGUUGGGGGCAUUAGUAUUCAAUUGUCAGAGGUGAAAUUCUUGGAUUUAUUGAAGACUAACUACUGCGAAAGCAUUUGCCAAGGAUGUUUUCAUUAAUCAAGAACGAAAGUUAGGGAUCGAAGACGAUCAGAUACCGUCGUAGUCUUAACCAUAAACUAUGCCGACUAGGGAUCGGAUGAUGUUAAUUUUUUAAUGUACUCAUUCGGCGCCUUACG
This 520-nucleotide unclassified non-coding RNA is filed under the name uncultured Glomus. Its description in RNAcentral is "SSU rRNA". It matches the Rfam family "Eukaryotic small subunit ribosomal RNA", at positions 569 to 1092 of the family's 1831-position model. Lineage: Eukaryota; Fungi; Glomeromycota; Glomeromycetes; Glomerales; Glomeraceae. The record is from RNAcentral.